CAACAAAUAAAAGGAGUUAAAGAGUCCGUAAAGGACUCUAACAUCCUUUUGAAAAAAGUGAGGAUUGUGCAUGAUAACUUGUGAGGCAUGGAACCUUUUGACCUACAAAAAAUGAGUCCAUAAAGGACUCUAGUUUUUAUCCUAUAAAAGGAGGGGGCCUAUGGACGUGAGAAGGUAAAUAGAACACCAAUAAAAAAGAG
This 200-nucleotide long non-coding RNA is filed under the name Elaeis guineensis (African oil palm). RNAcentral describes it as "long non-coding RNA (EGUI_LNC041880)". The record is from RNAcentral. Lineage: Eukaryota; Viridiplantae; Streptophyta; Magnoliopsida; Arecales; Arecaceae.